Molecule: non-coding RNA, 7163 nt
Organism: Solanum lycopersicum (tomato)
Lineage: Eukaryota; Viridiplantae; Streptophyta; Magnoliopsida; Solanales; Solanaceae
Source: RefSeq, a predicted model, not a curated record
GAUGAGAAGGAAGAUAUGAAGAAAGUUCCUUAUGCUUCAGCUGUUGGUAGUUUGAUGUAUGCGAUGGUUUGUACAAGACCGGAUAUUGCUCACGCUGUUGGAGUUGUUAGCCGUUUUCUUUCUAAUCCCGGAAGAGAAUAUUGGAAUGCUGUGAAGUGGGUUAUGAGAUAUCUCUGCGGCACUUCUAGUCUGAGUUUGUGUUUUGGUACAGGGAAACCUAUUCUUUGUGGUCAUACAUAUUCAGACAUGGCUGGUGAUGUUGAUACUCGCAAGUCUACUUCAGGGUACUUGGUUACUUUUGUAGGGGGAGCUGUGUCUUGGCAAUCUAGGUUGCAAAAAUGUGUUGCUCUAUCUACUACAGAAGUUGAGCUUAUUGCUAUGGUUAAAGCUUGUAAAGAAUUGCGUUGGAUGAAGAGAUUCUUGGGGGAACUUGGUUGUGCUCAAAAGAGGUAUGUGCUUUAUUGUGACAGUCAAAGUGCUAUACAUCUUGGCAAGAAUUCUACGUUCCAUGGUCGGUCUAAACACAUUGAUGUGAGAUACCAUUGGAUUCGAGAUGUGUUGAAUUUCUAAGUUGCUUGAGCUUGAAAAGAUUCAUAUAAAUGACAAUGGUUCCGAUAUGAUGACUAAAGCUUUGCCAAGAGGGAAGUUUGAAGAUCGUUGCAUGGUUGCCGGGAUGGCGGUCUCCUCCACAUAGUCGUGAGGGGGAGAAUUGUUGGGUUAUGGUCUUUUUUCCCUUUCUAUGUGGAUAAAUAAAAGCCCAAUUUGGACCAACCCAUUUUUGCCCAUAGUCCCAUUCUUAUGAGGCAAAUAUAAGCCUAUUUUGGUCUUAUUUUCAUACACACAGAGAGUUCUUUCAGCAGCCAAAAAGAGAGAAAGAGAGCAGUUUUCGCAGUCAAAAUUCAACCCUAACAACCAACUUCAAAUUGCGAUUCCCAACAGUGUGUAGAGUUAUAAAUUAAUGUUAUCGAGUUGGAUGUUUUUCAUAUCUCAUCUUAGCCUUGAAACAUAAAUUUAUGAAAAAUAUUUUAGCAUAUUGUCAUAAAUAGAUCUAAUAUGAACGAAUUUAAUAAAUCAACAAAUCAAUAUGGUCUCAUCGUUGUUUUUCUUGAUGAAUCUAGACAUGUCGGCUUUAUUUGAGGUUCACUAACCUAGGAUUUUGAAUUUGUUAAGACCUUUGAGUUUCGUUAUAUAUGACAACACAUAUUCAAUUAAAAGAAAAAGAUGUUAUUAGUUUAUUUACAUAUUAUUUUUUAUCAUUAGGAUUAUUUGACCUGUUUAAUAGACACUAAUGUUCAUCUUAGUAAACUUAUUAUCCUAAAUUAUUAUUCAUCUAACUCUUACAUAUAAUCAAAGGUUAUGACACCCAGUAAGAAAUGGAUGCAACUUGUUGAUGAUUGACUUAAUGAGGUCUACUUUAUUGGGGUAGAAAAUUUUUAAAAUAUGCUUUUCAAAGAGCAGGAGAAAUGUAUGAAAUACGAUGUCCAUGUGUCAAAUGUUGUAUACCACAUUAGGAACGUGUGACAGUCAGAACACACUUGAAAGUUUAUGGAAUAAUUAAAAACUACACCUUUUGGUAUAAUCAUGGAGAAGUCUACGGUGAGCCAGAAUCAGAAUGUGAAGAUAGAGAUGAUAAUGAAGCAGAAAAUGGUGAAAAUGAGGAUGAAAUAAGAGAAAUUUUGAUAGAUUUCUAUCCUAACCAUUAUGGACACACUGCAGAUGUUGAUUUUAAUGAGUCACAUGAAGAGGAACCAAAUGUUGAAGCCAAAAAGUUUUAUAGACUAUUGGGAGACUUUGAGAAGACACUUUAUCAAGGUUCAAAAAUUUCAAAACUUUCAACUUUGAAAGUAUGGGUCAUUGGAGUAAUGAGUCAUUUACGAUGUUGUUAAAAAUACUAAAAGAUAAGGUGUUUCCUGAUGAAGCCGAUUUGUCGAAUACAUAUUAUGGGGCAAAGAAGGUAAUUCAGAAUCUUGGACUUUCCUGUGAAAGAAUUGAUUCUUGUAUAAAUGAUUGCAUGUUAUAUUUAAAGGAGGAUAAAUUACUUUAUUCGUUUAAAGUUUGUGGCGAAUCCAGAUGGAAAGUUGAUAAACGUAGCGGGGAAGCAAAGAACAAAAAGGGUAAAAAGGUAGCAUCAAAGAUUAUGCGUUAUUUUCCAUUAAAGCCUAGGAUUCAAAGGUUAUUUAUGUCUUCAAAGAUAUCUUCUCUAAUGACAUGGCAUCAUGAUGAAAGAGUUGAUGAUGGAAUAGUGAGGCACCCAGCUGAUUCAAUGGAAUGGAAAUUAUUUGAUGAACUCAUCCUUCAUUUGCAGCCGAGCCUCGUAAUGUUCGACUUGGACUUGCGAGUGAUGGUUUCAACCAUUUUGGAAUGUAAAACUCAUAUAGCAUUUGACUGGUGAUACUUAUUCCCACCUUGGUUGUGUAUGAAGCAAGAAAAUUUUAUCAUGUCCAUGCUUAUUCCGUGUCCAAAUGGUCCAGGUGAUGCAAUUUACACAUAUCUUCAGCCAUUAAUAGAAGAAUUGAAGGAUUUAUUGGGAUAUUGGUAUUGAGACAUUUGAUGCAUCAACCAAGCAGAAUUUUAAGUUACAUGCUUCUUUGUUUUGGACCAUCAAUGACUUUCCAGCACAUGAAAAUUUAUCUAGGUGGAGUACGAAAGGAAAAUUGGCAUGCCCAUGUUGCAACAAAGAUACUUCCUCAAUCAGAUUGACCAAUUGUAAGAAAUAAUGUUAUAUGGGUCAUCGUUGUUAUCUUCCUCGCAAUCACAAAUGGAGGAAUGAUAAGAACUCCUUUGAUGGUAAAGAAGAGAAGAGGCUCCCACCAAAAAAACUAUCUGGUAUUGAGAUUCUUUAUCAAGUUCAAGAUCUUGAGGGAUUGCAGCUAACAAAGGAACCAAAGAAAAGAAUCAAAAUAUCACAUGAUAGUCGAAAAGAUAAUUGGAACAAGAAGAGUAUCUUUUUUGAACUUGCAUAUUGAGAGUCUCUUUUGUUGUGACAUAAUUUGGAUGUUAUGCAUAUUGAAAAAAAUAUAUGUGACAACAUCUUGGGGACAAUUAUGAAUGCCAAAGGAAAAAUCAAGGACGAUAUUAAUACUCAGCUAGAUUUGAAAGAAAUGAAUAUAAGGCCAGAGUUGCACCCUAUCGAGAAAGGUGAAAAAUAUGAAGUUCCAACUUUAUGUUACACCUUAUAUCCACAAGAAAAGCACAAUUUUUGUCUGUUUUUGAAGAAUUUAAAGGUUCCAGAUGGAUUUUCAUCCAAUAUUUCUCAGUGUGUUAGCCUGAAAGAUCACAAAAUUUCUACUUUAAAAAGUCAUGAUUGUCAUGUUCUUCUUCAGCAUUUACUCCCUCUUGCACUACGGGGUAUGUUGUCCAAAGAAGUGUGUGAACCUCUAAUUGAAUUAUCUAUAUUUUUUAAAUGAUUGGAGCUAAGUCAUUAAGGAUUGAUGACUUGGAGCAGAUUAAGGCUCAAAUUCCAAUAACUCUUUGCAAGUUAGAAAAGGUAUUUCCGCCUUCAUUUUUUUAUGUCAUGGUGAGAUUGCCUAUUCACUUAGCUAAUGAAGCUAUGCUUGGUGGAACUGUCCAGUAUCGAUAGAUGUAUCCUAUAGAACGAGGGUUAUAUUGUUUGAAAUCUCUCAUUGUUAAUAGGGCUUGGCCAGAAUGUUGUAUUGCAAAGAGUUACAUUGCACGUGAAUGUAUGAAUUUAUGUUCAAGAUAUCUGCAUACAAUUGACACAAAAUUUAAUAGGCCAGAACGAAAGUAUGAUGGUUGUCUGAAAAAAUCUAAAGGAGUAUCUUUAUUUUUUCAAUAUGGAAAAAAACUGAGGGCUCCAAAACAGCGUGAGCAUGCACAUAUAUACCUUCUAAAGAAUUGCGAUGAAGUUCUACCCUUCCCAGAGUAUGAUUUUUUUUCUAGACAUCAUACUUUAUUGCCUUUUUUUCUUUUGGAUAACUUUUUUAUAUGACAUUUGUGAUUCAAUUUAAAUUUGUGGAGAAUUUGCACAAAUUCAUAUAGAUUCUACUCAAUACUUGUCUGAUGAUGAAUGGAGUAGAUAAUUUAUUGAAUGGUUUCAAGAUAAGAGAUAAUAUGUACACAUCAAAUUUAAAAAUCUAAUAUUAAGUUACCCAUUUAAAAGUGAUCAAUUUUAUUAUGUUGAUAGGUUGCACAAUUGCAUAAAGAAGAUGAUAAUCGGAUCAUGGAAGAUCUCCUCGCACUUUCACGUGGUCCUACUAAAUAUGUAUUACAUUAUAAUGGUUACAUUGUCAAUGGAUAUAGAUUCCAUGCAGAAGAUUAUGAUAAAAAUUUAUGGACUCAAAAUUGUGGUGUGAUUGUCAUUGGUAAAACUGAUAAACAUAGUGAGAACAUUGAUUACUAUGGAGUUUUAACCGAUGUUCUUGAAUUGCAAUUCACGGGCAGAAGAGUUGUUUUGUUUGAAUGCAAAUGGUUUGAUGCAUAUGAUAAGACAAAGGGAGUGAAAAUAGAUGUGUAUGACAUUGUAAGUGUAAAUUGGGGGCGAUUUUUGAAAACAAAUGAGCCUUUUGUAUUAGCUGAUCAAGCCUCUCAAGUAGUUUAUGCUAUUGAUAAUUCCAAUAGAGGUUGGUGUGUAGUGAAAAAGGUACAACCUCGUAAUUCCUAUGAAAUUAUCCAACAAAAGGACAAUGAAUUUGAAAAUUUAGAAAAUUCUUCACAAAAUAAAUGAAAAAAAUGAUUGAGGUGAAUAUCUCCUUAAACUUUUGCAUAUUCGUCAUUAUACAUUUUGAAACACGAUUUUAUUAGUACAUUAUUUUUAUAGUGUUUUAAUCUUUUUUGCCAAGCAUAUGAUUUUUAGAAUGUUUUCUCAUUUUUUUUGUUAACACAUUGUCUUUGUUUUUUGGUAGGUGUGAUAUGAAAUCAUCAAAGGAUGAAAAUCAGGUGGCAUCUAGAGUGAAAGUUACUACUAAAUAUGCAUGUGUGCCAUCGAGUUCUAUAGGAAAAGGACGAGGAAGAGGUCUUAAAUGUAUGGUGUCAAGAACUUUUAUUCCAUUUUCUCCAUCUACUGAUCAAGUUAUGCAAUACAAUCAAUUUACUGAAACAAGUGUGGUUGCAUAAGGACGAGGAAAAGGUCUUAGAUCUAUGUUUAAUCCUCAAGGAGUGAGAACAAUGAAGAAAAAUUACUUGAGUGUUGAGAAAGGACAUAUUCCAUCUUUUUCAUCUACAGAGGAACUUAUGCAAUAUAUCAAAACAAAUUUAUCAAGGGCUCAAGGGAAAUAUCAAGGGCUUUAAAUCUAUUGCUCAAUUGAAGAUAUUGAAAAUGAGGAGCGAUCUUUCAAUCAAAAUGAUCGUUGUGUUAGUCAAAGCAUGUCAAAACCUUCUAAUGCUCAAGGAUGGAGAACAAUGAAUAAAAAGUAUUUGACUUCUGAGAAAGAGCAUAAGCAAGAUGAUGUUCCAAUUUCUCUCUUUACUUGUGAUGUUAUGGAAUCCACCCCAACAUUUGAAACAAACACUUUGUAGGCUCAAAUUCAAGAAUUGGUGGAGUCUGAACCAUUACUUUAUAACAUAGAAAUUGUUGAGAAAUGCUUUGGACCUCAAAGUCGUAGUCAUGUAUUUGGAUUUAGAGGUGGAGUAAAAGCAAGAAAUUUGAAAGGUGGGGCUUCCUCAAAAGCUGAAUUGUUGCCCGAGCUACGUUCAACUCAAAAAGAGAAUCAGUCUUUGAAGGAUUGCAUGUCUAACUUUCAAAAUGAGAUGAAAGAAUUUUUUUUUUAGCGCAACACGCUAGUUUUCAGCCUCCAAUUCAAGAGAAUGACUAUUCGGAUACUUGAUGAUACCAUCACACGAACUCCUGAUAAAAUUUUAUAGAGAAAAUGGACUUUUGGCUAUUUAAGGAUUUUCAAGUGAUGAUAACAAACUCAGUUAGAACAUGUAAGCUCUUCUUCCUCUCUUAACUUUAACUUUUUGACUAAGUUUUGUUCCUUGUAAAUUUUAGUUUGUGAUUACAAUUUACUCGUCGCAAUAUAAGUAAUUAGUGUUGUCGCUGCUACAACUAUAUUGUGUACAACAAUUUCCCACAAAAAAAUGGCCAUCAAAAUCUCAACUGUUGCAGCAAUUAGUGGUACAAAUUGUUAUUUGAUUUAAUCACAUCUGUAUGUUUAUCUUUAUAUAUAGGUCUUGUGAAUGAAAGUUCUAUUUCUUUUAAGAUUUUGGAUGUUGAAAUUUGCAAAAAGCUGAUGUUAAACAACAUAUAGAUUGACCAUUUUUUGUUGGGAAGGUUAAGGCGACUUUGGAUUAUAGUUUAAGGCCAGUGUAUACUUUUUUCUGCUAAGGGUUCAUGAUCACAAUAUUGUUACUAGCUUACCUCAGUGUUGUAUGUAGUCAGAUGCCUUAUACUCACAUUAUUUUGUAAUUACAUUAUAUAUUGUAUAUGAAAGUGACAAGUUUAUAUUAAUUAUCGUAUUUUCUAGGUCAAAUGCAAUGUGAUUUAAGGACUAGAAUGCAAAUUCUUAAAUCAUUUUGAGUAGGAAAUCUGUAAUGGUUGUGAUAUGAUUUAUGGAUCAUCUCCAAAAUGGUCCUGAAAUGAUUUAGGGACCAGCUUAAAAGUUUUCGUAAAUUGAUCUAUAGACGAGCUAAAAACUGGUCGCAAACUGAUUUACGGACCAACUUCAAACUGAUCGCAAAAUGAUUACGGACCAGCAUAGAAGUCGUCCCAAAUGAAAUAUACAACAGUUAUAAUACAUUGGAAUUCAAUAUUUUAUACAUAUUAUACGCAUAUUUCAAUGAAUCUGGUAAAUAUAUAACUACAUUCUUUAUACAAAUGUAUUAUACGUAUUGUAUGUGAAUUUCAAACAUUUCGCUACUAUUUAAAUUAGUCUACAUUGUUUGGAAAUAUAUUAUAUUGAUUUUGGAAUAUCAACAGUCAAAAUCAUAUGAUAUCAAAUUCAAAUUGUAUUAUAAUUAUCAUUAUAUUUAGGAUAAAUCAUCUACAUACACAACAUCAUUCAACAUAUUUUCUAUUAUUCCCCGCCCUUUCUAAAUAUUACUAAAAUCCUUUUUCUUACUCCAUUAAAUCAAACUUCCAGAUACAUAACAUAUUUUUUCCUAACCCACGUUUAUCUCUCCCCUUUUCACUCCUUACAUCACUCUCUUUUUUACUCCCACAAUCUUAUCUGUUUAUUCUCUCAUUACAAUUUUAAAUUUUAAGAUCU